GAUGAACGCUGGCGGCGUGCUUAACACAUGCAAGUCGAACGGAAAGGCUCCUGCUUGCCGGGGAUCUCGAGUGGCGAACGGGUGAGUAACACGUGGGUGAUCUGCCCUGCACUUCGGGAUAAGCCUGGGCAACUGGGUCUAAUACAGGCUAGGACGGUGGUUUGGUUGCGAUUGUUGAAAGCUUUGCUGAGUGGGUUGGGCUCGGGGCCUAUCAGCUUGUUGGGGGGGUAAUGGCUUACCAAGCGGCCGUCGGGUACCCGGCCUGGGAGGUGGUACGGCCACAAUGGGACUGAGAGACGGCCCAGACGCCUACGGGAGGCAGCAGUGGGGAAUAUUGCACAAUGGGCGCAAGCCUGAUGCAGCGACGCUGCGUGUGGGAAGACGGCCUUCGGGUUGUAAACGCCUGUCGCUAGGGACGAAGCGCAAGUGACGGUACCUGGAGAAGAAGCACCGGCUAACUACGUG
Molecule: ribosomal RNA, 465 nt
Filed under: uncultured bacterium
Lineage: Bacteria
Description: partial 16S ribosomal RNA
Rfam family: Bacterial small subunit ribosomal RNA
Source: RNAcentral